This 73-nucleotide transfer RNA is filed under the name Mustela putorius furo (domestic ferret). It matches the Rfam family "tRNA". From Rfam's summary of the family: Transfer RNA (tRNA) molecules are approximately 80 nucleotides in length. Their secondary structure includes four short double-helical elements and three loops (D, anti-codon, and T loops). Lineage: Eukaryota; Metazoa; Chordata; Mammalia; Carnivora; Mustelidae. The record is from Rfam by way of RNAcentral. RNAcentral also lists the same sequence under 1 other name.
ACCUGGCUGGCUCAGUCAGUAGAGCAUAUGACUCUUGAUCUUGGGGUAGUGAGUUCAAGCCCCAUGUUGGGUG